AUUGAACGCUGGCGGCAUGCUUUACACAUGCAAGUCGAACGGUAACAGGCCGCAAGGUGCUGACGAGUGGCGAACGGGUGAGUAAUGCAUCGGAACGUGCCCAGUCGUGGGGGAUAACUACUCGAAAGAGUAGCUAAUACCGCAUACGAUCUAUGGAUGAAAGCGGGGGACCGUAAGGCCUCGCGCGAUUGGAGCGGCCGAUGUCAGAUUAGGUAGUUGGUGGGGUAAAGGCUCACCAAGCCAACGAUCUGUAGCUGGUCUGAGAGGACGACGAGCCACACUGGGACUGAGACACGGCCCAGACUCCUACGGGAGGCAGCAGUGGGGAAUUUUGGACAAUGGGCGCAAGCCUGAUCCAGCAAUGCCGCGUGCAGGAAGAAGGCCUUCGGGUUGUAAACUGCUUUUGUACGGAACGAAACGGCUCUGGUUAAUACCCGGGGCUAAUGACGGUACCGUAAGAAUAAGCACCGGCUAACUACGUG
Molecule: ribosomal RNA, 482 nt
Filed under: uncultured bacterium
Lineage: Bacteria
Description: partial 16S ribosomal RNA
Rfam family: Bacterial small subunit ribosomal RNA
Source: RNAcentral